AGCUAGCAUCUAGGCAUCCUUUGUGAAUCUAGGCGCCUGGCUCCAGGCCCGCGCGUCAGUUUUUCGUCGACCUGCAAGUCGUUAACAGUGUAUCACAGUGACGAUCUGAAUUAAUUAAAUAGAGGAAAAUGGACGGAGGAAGAAGUGGAAAUGCUUAGAGGCUGCAUUAAGCGGUUUGCAGAGGAAUUGAAUAAGAUAACUCACCAUAUAAAAACUCGAACCAUGUAAGCUAUAAUGGUAGACGACCCGCCGAUACGACCAGGCUUUGCUAAGUGGCGGCAAGUCCUUUGCGAAACAGAAACCGGCUUCGCACCAACUUGAAGGAAAAAGCGUUUAAACAUGCAGGUAUACCUGUGCGUAAGGUAAGCAGAACAGACACCAGCUCUCAGCCGGCACCUCAUGUGGCACCCGCGCCACUGAGAGAUCUCAUCAGGCAGACGGUUUUAAGACUGGACGCAGAGGUAACCCUGAAUAUGCUGAACGCUUCGGAGGCUGAGGAAGCUGACGGCCUCAGCAGGGAGAUCAAGCUGGAAUUUGAUUCAGCGUACGACGAAGCGGCAAUUUGAUGUGAUACAUUUAGUUUCCUUUAAGUUACUCGUGUUUUGUACCAGGCUACAGCUGAUGACGAACUGUUGCUGAGCAAUGGGAGCAACCAUACCCUUGUACAACCAACGGUUAACGAGGAGCCCUGCUCGCAUGUUUAACUUGUAUCAAAAUUCAAAAUUUUCUCAAAAUUCCCAUUUCACUGACAUAUUAUGUCACCCUCCCUUAUGACACUAAAAUCUGUAAUUUCUUAAUUAUAUAGUCAUUUUUUAUGUGUGUUUUGUAAGAUAUUGUCGGCGAGAGUGAAAUGAUUUUGAUUAUUCGUUUUUGAACUGUCGUGGUAUCCACUAUCAAUUGGUUCCAUUUAUUUAUUUUUAACUUCGCUGAGUAGUUCAUUUGUUAUCUCAUAUUACUGUAUGUGACCUGGUGCGUGGAUAGACGAUCUCAUCCAUCGCACACGUCCACUGCUGUUCUACGGAGAUGACAAAAGAAUAAGUUAAUAAUGCUUACAUGGAACCUUUUGCAUGGAAACUCAUACGAACAAAAAGAAUCCUCCAAAUCAGGGCACGAACAUGCGACGUUAUCUUUAUAAAUGCAUUAAAAAAGAUAGUCUAAUUAAGAAGUUAUUCAUAUUUUAAUGUCUCAACUAAUUGGCAAACAGCAUUGGCUUAUGGGGAGUGGUUGGUUCCAUUACUUUUUGUACCUUGUAUUGGACAAAGAGCGUAUCUCUGUAAGGAAAAGGUUGCCAACGAGUCUGUCAUCUUCUCGAGUAGUCAACCAUUCCCAGAGUGCGCUCUUCGUUCCAAUGUUUAAGAUUAUUUUGAUUAUAUAAUUUUUAAAGUUAGGAAUUCCAGUUUAUUUGUAACGGGUAUCAAGCUUGGUUGGGCAACUACUCACUAAACAUAUUUAGCGCUACAUCUAAAACGUUGUUCUGUCCCGGUCAAUUUCUAAUAAUUGACUGACACAGUAUGAUGUUUUUAGCUCUAAACAUGCUUAGUAAGGGGUCGUACAAGUGGGCCAAAGUUAAGUUUAAUAUAUUUUGGUUGUGAUUUUUACCAAAGAUGCUUUCCGUAGUUAAUUUCUCAAAAUUAUUCACAUUAUGUAAGUUGCUGUGCAUAAUGAAGGAGUGGACACAAAGUGCGACUUCUUUGAAGAUCACUCUUCAUUAUGUACUAAGAUUUUUUUGUGAUGGUCUAGACCUGAAGGUUUUUGUAGUAACAAACUGGAUAAAGGAUGUCCAUUGGACUUAACCCAAUUAGAAACCUUUAUAGGUGGGAGUUUGGAUUAAGUGCAAUGGCGCUGGAGUGAGUUGAGACGGUAAAUAGUAAUAUUUUAGUAAAAUUUUCCAAGUGCCUUGGGCUGAAAGUAAAGUGUUAUCAGGAACCUUCUGUCUAUUCGGAGUAACAGUUCGGCUGCCUGGAUUUUAAUGUUGUUCCGUAAAUUUUCAGUUCAGGUUUGAUGUACCCUCUGGCGUUGACAAUGAACUCCUCUGUUUCAUUUGUGAUGAUACCCUAUAUAGCCCAAUAGAACCUCGCCUUGCAGCUUUUACUAAGCUCGGAGCUCUGAAGUGACGUUUUAUUACUGCAAUUAGGAUACCAUCAAAAAUAACAGAGUGACCAUUUUGCAGCAAAAUUGUGUAAAUUAUUUCAAUUUCAUUUAAUAAUUUAGUCAUUAUUUGCAAAUGCAAUGCUUUAUACUUCAAAUGAUUUGUGUCUGAGUUCCUUAGCGAGUUUCACCGUUUCUGAGCGUUAUCUGGUGGUGGAACUGUUUUUUUAUAAUAAGUUUUAUUAGUAAUAAUAGGUUGUUUUUUUACAAUUUGUCAAUGCCAGUGGUUUUUGUCCCUUUCCAUACAGAGCUGAAGUUGCAUAACCUUCGUAGUUUUAAUAGAUUUUAGGUCAAGUUACUUGUAACUUCAGUUUUGUAUAGAGGUGACUCGGGUUUUUUUUGAUACAUCGUUAAUAUGUUUCCCAUAUAUUUUAUAGCUGUUGAGUAUGCACCUCGUUGUUAUUUGGUGAGCGACUUUAUACCAAAAUGGCUUAUAAUCAAAACAUUGUUACUAUGAUUUCUUCUGCGUAUGAUUAGUUAUAAUAAUUUAUUUAAAACUUCUUUUUGUUUUUCGUUUAUCAAAUUGGAAUAAAAAUGCAAUAAGCCAACACUGCCAUGUAUGAUUAGCUGUCACUCGGAUGGUUAAUAUCUAUCGUAGAAUGUAAAAAUAUUAAUUGCACAUUUUUAAUUUGAAACUUGCGGGCUGAUCGUCCCACUGCUUAUUGAACAAACUUACCGUUGAACAUAUAUUUUUGUAACAUCUUUUGGUGGGGAGGCAGAGGGGAAUGAUGGAGGGAUUACACCGGUAAACGUGUCCAGCGAGCAGUGGUGCCUUGUGGUCGGUUUCGCUUAUUAGCUCAAAUGAAUAUAAAGCCGCUCAGCAGACUCGACCUGGAUGCUGUUAGCACCGAGCCUCCACGCCAGACGUGAAUGCUCCUCUUUUUGUUUUUUGUUUGUUAUCCGGCCCGCCCAGAUUGUCCUUGUUGUUGGUAUUCGGAAAGAGCUAUCGAAGGUUCAUAAGACUGAGUUUUGUUUCAAGGGACGGCAUUCCUUGUGGAUUGGAGGCUUUUUCAUAAUGUUUUGCAAUGUUUAUAGCGUAUUAUUAUAUAUUUACUGCUUCAGAUGUUAUAUUUAUAUAGGAAAUUAUAUUUAUUUACAGUUUGAAAGAUAUAUAUUUUUUUUAUUGCCUUAGAAAAUCAUAGGACAAAUUAGUAGAUAGAAAAAUGGCUUUGUAAAUAACGCAUAGUUUUGUGUGUAGAAGGGUUAGUUUAUUACAACAAUAUACCUCAAAUUAGGAAUUAGUAUGAGAUUGGUAAUUUUAAGUUAAAGCAAUGUGCAAAAGGGUGACUGUUGUGAGGAAGGAAACAUCUGGAUAAAUGCCGGCUGGUACCAUUUCAGAUUGACUAGUGUAACGGGUGAGAGCUUGUCGCCUCCACAACAUCGGCUGCUCAACAUCUUGCAUUGACCAUACACUCUUGGCUAGGGUAAUAACAUUUCCGGCGGACUCUGUAAAAGGAUCCCGUCGGUUAGUGCCUCGUUAGCGCCUCGGCUGAGACCUGUAUCACGUGCCUGUCUGGUCGAGUCCAGUGACAGCUGCGCCUGUCAGACUCCCAGUCUCCUGGAGCGGCAUCAUCACUGUAAAGUUGCCCUUCUGCACAUGUUUUGUAACAGCAAUAACACAUGUGCCGUACAGCAAUGCAGUACCUCGUUGUUCUCCGUUAUUGGGGGACAACAUGAUUUGUUUAGUGUCUUUUUGAAGUCGCUCAGUAGCGUCAUUCAUGUCUUAAAACUGCCUUUAUUAGUUGUAACAACAAAUAGCCAGCAAAUGUGCAGUGCCUAAGCCAAUCUGAUGUAUUGCCUUUAAUAAAUAUUAAUUCUCUUAAUGUAGGUAAUGAACUUGUAAUAUUACUAAUUCUUUUAAUUUGGGGAAAUGUUGGUUUUAGGUUAGGAUCGUAGUGUGUAAGGAUAAUUUUUAAUAACAUUGAGAUCUCUUGAUUAACAGACAUUUAAUAAACAGAUUUAAAACUUAGUAAUAAAUAACACUGUAAAUAUAGGUUAAUGUAAAUAGAAA
This is an RNA transcript of Helicoverpa zea (corn earworm), 4159 nucleotides long. It is a transcript of the gene named chromatin complexes subunit BAP18-like, with no coding region annotated. The transcript has 5 exons. The record is from RefSeq and is a predicted model, not a curated record. Lineage: Eukaryota; Metazoa; Arthropoda; Insecta; Lepidoptera; Noctuidae.